RNAcentral lists this ribosomal RNA (433 nucleotides) under uncultured bacterium. RNAcentral describes it as "partial 16S ribosomal RNA". It matches the Rfam family "Bacterial small subunit ribosomal RNA", at positions 29 to 507 of the family's 1533-position model. The record is from RNAcentral.
AACGAACGCUGGCGGCAUGCCUAACACAUGCAAGUCGAACGAGACCUUCGGGUCUAGUGGCGCACGGGUGCGUAACGCGUGGGAACCUGCCUUUAGGUUCGGAAUAACUCAGAGAAAUUUGAGCUAAUACCGGAUGAUGUCUUCGGACCAAAGAUUUAUCGCCUUUAGAUGGGCCCGCGUUGGAUUAGCUAGUUGGUGGGGUAAAGGCCUACCAAGGCGACGAUCCAUAGCUGGUCUGAGAGGAUGAUCAGCCACACUGGGACUGCGACACGGCCCAGACUCCUACGGGAGGCAGCAGUGGGGAAUAUUGGACAAUGGGCGAAAGCCUGAUCCAGCAAUGCCGCGUGAGUGAUGAAGGCCUUAGGGUUGUAAAGCUCUUUUACCCGAGAUGAUAAUGACAGUAUCGGGAGAAUAAGCUCCGGCUAACUCCGUG